RNAcentral lists this ribosomal RNA (328 nucleotides) under uncultured eukaryote. RNAcentral describes it as "partial 18S ribosomal RNA". It matches the Rfam family "Eukaryotic small subunit ribosomal RNA", at positions 1470 to 1796 of the family's 1831-position model. The record is from RNAcentral.
CCCUUAGAUGUCCGGGGCUGCACGCGCGCUACACUGAAGGAAUCAGCGUGCUAAAACCAUUGUCGAAAGGCAUUGGUAAACCCAUUAAAAUCCUACGUGAUUGGGAUCGGGAAUUGCAAUUAUUUCCCUUGGACGAGGAAUUCCCAGUAAGUGUGGGUCAUAAGCUCGCGUUGAUUACGUCCCUGCCCUUUGUACACACCGCCCGUCGCUGCCCGGGACUGAGCCGUUUCGAGAAAAGCGGGGACUGCUGCUGUCGGGGCUUUCGGGCCUUGGCUUCGGUGGAAACCGCUUUAAUCGCAGUGGCUUGAACCGGGCAAAAGUCGUAACA